Molecule: long non-coding RNA, 2815 nt
Organism: Frieseomelitta varia
Lineage: Eukaryota; Metazoa; Arthropoda; Insecta; Hymenoptera; Apidae
Exons: 4
Source: RefSeq, a predicted model, not a curated record
CACCUCCUCUUGCUUUUCGCGCGCGCUUUCUUUUUUUUUUUCGCACGGAUGCCUGAGUGACGUCAGCAGCUUUCGAAGCGACAGAAACGGGACGUAAGUACCUUCGAGUUGUCACGUAUUUCAUCGUCAUCCUUCGUUCCUUUGAAAAAGAAACGAACGCUGCGAGUAAUUUGAAGAGAUCCUCGAUAUGUGUUUCGCACAUGAGUGUCGAGGAUUUUAAGAAUGUCGAUCAUCGAAGAUUACUACGUCGGACAGUACGUGAGUCGAGUUACGAGAUUUCAAGCGUCUCGAAGGGCUCUUUCGGGGAUUCAAACGUCCAGGCUCCUCCUCGAUCGUUUUUCGUCGUUUCGAGCGCACCGUUAUCUUGCCGAAAUGAAUCGGUACGUACGUACAUAUACACGUGUGUAUCUUUUUUUUACAAUGAUCUUUGUCAGAAACGGCGACGGGAGAGACGAAACGAGAGUGUUGGUAAUACACACGCGCGGGAUGAUGUUUUUCAACUUGUGGUGGCGUGCAGAUCGCACCUUCGUCACGUGUCAUUUGGUCCACUCUACGUCCGUUAGCUUGGAAUUUCUUUGCAGCCUCGAAAACAGUAUGUUCACGCUUCGCUUUGUGAAAAGGAAUUUACAAAGCGACGUUGUACCGCCUCGAUGGGAUCAGCUGAGAACGUGAUGAUUUUAAUCGAAGACGGCGGCUGCACACGUUCAGGAUUUUGAACCCAGCUGAACAAGCUCGAACCUGUCGCUUCCGAAUGAAAUUGCGGAAUUACAAAAAGGUAGAACAUAAUGUGUAAUAAGACUCCGAUACACGUAGGGAUGAGAGACGAGCUAGCUAUCGGUGGGAAAUGGGCGCAGAUUAUAUGGAACAAGGCUAUCGACAUUGUGAUUACGCGGAGUCGAGAACAAUUAAUUUAUCACGUGAAAGAUGAUUUGACAUUCCACGACAUCGUCCUUUUUCUGCGAGGAUUGAGGCUUCGACGAUUAUUUGUUCCUUUUUCCUCUCUCUAUUGGAUACUUUCUCGUUAACCCUCAAUUUUCGUGGAUGAAAAGAGAGAGAGAGAGAGAGAGAGUGACGACAUUUUAAGAAAUAGAUACUACGUUUAAAAUACGAGAGAAAAAUCGUGCAGAAAUAAGGACUUCUAUUGUAUUUGAGAAUAUGGAAACUCAAAAGAUGAUCAAUAUUAUGAAUAGAUUGCAAAUUUUUGUAUUAUCACAUAAAGAAUAUACAAAACGUAUCCAAUAUUUUUAUAAUACAUAUUAGAUUACAGUCAUAACUCGUCUAUUGAAUGGAAUUAGACGAGGAAAUGUGAUGUAUGUAUGCAUGUGAAACUUGGUUCGAGCGCGAAAGUUAGCUCAAAAAGGCGAUAUUUAAUUAUUAACGGGUUUUCGAGGGAAUUCAUAAAAUCUCCUCGCGGCGAUUUACGAGCUCUUGUUUCGGUUUGAUUUUCAUCCGGUAUGAAUUUUCGCGUAACUCGCGAAGCUCCUAAUUAGCCUUCAACGAACAACGGUAGAUAACUGCGGUGAGUAAUUGUUGAUAAUUCUGUUUUGAUCUCGACGAGCAAUUUCAAUUAUAGGUAGAUUGUAUUUAUGUAUAUGAUUCAGGUUUGAAUCGGGCUUGAAUCUUACUCAAAUGAAAUUUAAAAUUUAAAUAGAUCUCUGUUGCAAAUUGCAGAUCUUUUUUUUUUUUUUUGCUUAAUAUAAAAUCCUAAAAUUAUAAAAGAAACGUUUAUAACUUAAUGUUUUUCUAAUGUUUAUUAGAAUAAUUUAAUAUUUAUUCUAAAUUAUUAUACAACAGGGUCUUGCUAGGUGCUAGGUUCAUCAGCAAGGUUUAUUAAGUGAAAUUCACUGAUUUUUAAAAAAUGAAAAUUAACGCGCACUUUAUUAGUUUAUUAGUAACAUAUUUGCAUGGAAAUGAUACUAUUUAAAAUAAAUCUCGAGUUUCAAGGGAUAAUUAAGAGAAUUUUGUCUUCGUUUUGACAUUUGAAUAUUUUAUAGAAUAUUUUGUAGCAUUAACAUUAAUAUUAGCUAUAAUACCAAGUUUUGUAAGAUGAAAAUUAAAACAACAGAAAAGACCACUAUAUUCAAGGACACAUAUUCAACUUCAAACGAAUUUAACUGUUCUCCACCAAACCAAUCAAGAUUACUGAUAAACUACUAAAAAUCAUACAAAUAUCUUUGACGAAAUUAGACGUUUUGUUUUAUUAAUUAACAGCAGAAACAUUCAUUUAAUUUUCAAUGAAUCACUUGCAAUGUAUCUAUGUACAUGUUACCUAAUGUGUACAGUGUUGCUAUUAAACGUAAUUGCAUGCAUCUCUUUACUUUCUAAUUAAGCAUGCGUAACAUAUUCGGAUCAUAAUAAUCCGCAAUGUUGGCGCUAAAAAUAAUUCGCCGUGAUUGCAUGUUUAAUGAGAAGUCGUUGCUCUGCUUGAUGAUUCGCGAUAAAUUCGUGGAAAAUUGAUCGAGCAUAUUCGAAACCUUCGUUCAGACGGUUCACAGACAAGGACGACCCGUGUUGUGGUCCAUCAUUCUCGUCUCUCUGUUCGCUCGUGCGUCCCUAAUUAUCCAAUUUUACGCUACCGGCCUCCCAGUACGGUAAAUAUUCUCGGUGGCACCACACAUCAAACUCCAGAGUGGCAGGCUAGAAAUCUUUAUACCCUGAUUCGUUUGGUGCUCGAGCAAAUGCGAAGCACGUGUUGCAACCGAUCUUUCCCGCGACCAUUAUUGGCAAUUGUGUUGGAAACGAUCGUGUUACAGUGAAGAGUAUAAUUGAACUGGUAACCACAGGUCCUUGUACAGAUCCUACCGUUAAUAUUAAA